AUAAUCACAAAGGGGAGUCCAUCUGGGCUGAGAUUGAAGUGAUUCUAAACCCUUCGAACCUGUUUCGAUCAUACGAGCGUAGGAAUUGUGAAUUAGGAUAAA
This 102-nucleotide non-coding RNA is filed under the name Enterococcus faecalis. Its description in RNAcentral is "TPP sequence". It matches the Rfam family "TPP riboswitch aptamer (THI element)". From Rfam's summary of the family: Vitamin B(1) in its active form thiamin pyrophosphate (TPP) is an essential coenzyme that is synthesised by coupling of pyrimidine and thiazole moieties in bacteria. The previously detected thiamin-regulatory element, thi box was extended, resulting in a new, highly conserved RNA secondary structure, the THI element, which is widely distributed in eubacteria and also occurs in some archaea. Lineage: Bacteria; Bacillati; Bacillota; Bacilli; Lactobacillales; Enterococcaceae. The record is from RNAcentral.